RNAcentral lists this ribosomal RNA (576 nucleotides) under Mycobacterium sp. RNAcentral describes it as "bacterial SSU rRNA". It matches the Rfam family "Bacterial small subunit ribosomal RNA", at positions 237 to 825 of the family's 1533-position model. The record is from RNAcentral. Lineage: Bacteria; Bacillati; Actinomycetota; Actinomycetes; Mycobacteriales; Mycobacteriaceae.
CCUAUCAGCUUGUUGGUGGGGUAAUGGCCUACCAAGGCGACGACGGGUAGCCGGCCUGAGAGGGUGACCGGCCACACUGGGACUGAGAUACGGCCCAGACUCCUACGGGAGGCAGCAGUGGGGAAUAUUGCACAAUGGGCGCAAGCCUGAUGCAGCGACGCCGCGUGAGGGAUGACGGCCUUCGGGUUGUAAACCUCUUUCAAUAGGGACGAAGCGCAAGUGACGGUACCUAUAGAAGAAGCACCGGCCAACUACGUGCCAGCAGCCGCGGUAAUACGUAGGGUGCGAGCGUUGUCCGGAAUUACUGGGCGUAAAGAGCUCGUAGGUGGUUUGUCGCGUUGUUCGUGAAAACUCACAGCUUAACUGUGGGCGUGCGGGCGAUACGGGCAGACUAGAGUACUGCAGGGGAGACUGGAAUUCCUGGUGUAGCGGUGGAAUGCGCAGAUAUCAGGAGGAACACCGGUGGCGAAGGCGGGUCUCUGGGCAGUAACUGACGCUGAGGAGCGAAAGCGUGGGGAGCGAACAGGAUUAGAUACCCUGGUAGUCCACGCCGUAAACGGUGGGUACUAGGUGUGG